GUACCAGACUCCUACGGGAGGCAGCAGUGGGGAAUAUUGCACAAUGGGGGAAACCCUGAUGCAGCGACGCCGCGUGAGCGAUGAAGUAUUUCGGUAUGUAAAGCUCUAUCAGCAGGGAAGAAGAUGACGGUACCUGACUAAGAAGCCCCGGCUAACUCCGUGCCAGCAGCCGCGGUAAUACGGAGGAUGCGAGCGUUAUCCGGAUUUAUUGGGUUUAAAGGGUGCGUAGGCGGGCUUUUAAGUCAGCGGUAAAAAUUCGGGGCUCAACCCCGUCCGGUCGUUGAAACUGGGGGCCUUGAGUGGGCGAGAAGAAGGCGGAAUGCGUGGUGUAGCGGUGAAAUGCAUAGAUAUUAGGAGGAACACCAGUGGCGAAGGCGGCUUACUGGACUGUAACUGACGUUGAGGCUCGAAAGCGUGGGGAGCAAACAGGAUUAGAUACCCGUGUAA
RNAcentral lists this ribosomal RNA (447 nucleotides) under uncultured bacterium. RNAcentral describes it as "bacterial SSU rRNA". It matches the Rfam family "Bacterial small subunit ribosomal RNA", at positions 328 to 793 of the family's 1533-position model. The record is from RNAcentral.